UUUCCAGACUCCUACGGGAGGCAGCAGUGGGGAAUUUUGGACAAUGGGCGCAAGCCUGAUCCAGCCAUUCCGCGUGUGGGAUGACGGCCCUCGGGUUGUAAACCACUUUAGUAGAGAACGAAAAGGAGCUAUCGAAUAAAUAGCUCUGCUGACGGUACUCUAAGAAUAAGCACCGGCUAACUCCGUGCCAGCAGCCGCGGUAAUACGGAGGAUGCGAGCGUUAUCCGGAUUUAUUGGGUUUAAAGGGUGCGUAGGCGGAAUAUCAAGUCAGCGGUAAAAAUUCGGGGCUCAACCCCGUCGUGCCGUUGAAACUGAUGUUCUUAAGUGGGCGAGAAGUAUGCGGAAUGCGUGGUGUAGCGGUGAAAUGCAUAGAUAUCACGCAGAACUCCGAUUGCGAAGGCAGCAUACCGGCGCCCAACUGACGCUGAAGCACGAAAGCGUGGGUAUCGAACAGGAUUAGAUACCCCGGUAA
RNAcentral lists this ribosomal RNA (472 nucleotides) under uncultured bacterium. RNAcentral's name for it is "bacterial SSU rRNA". It matches the Rfam family "Bacterial small subunit ribosomal RNA", at positions 328 to 793 of the family's 1533-position model. The record is from RNAcentral.